Ribosomal RNA from Cryptomeria japonica (Japanese cedar), 3252 nucleotides. NCBI's taxonomy places the organism in Eukaryota, Viridiplantae, Streptophyta, Pinopsida, Cupressales, Cupressaceae. The record is from RefSeq and is a predicted model, not a curated record.
CAUCCCCAAGUCAGGCGUGAAUACCUGCUGAGUUUAAGCAUAUCACUAAGCGGAGGAAAAGAAACUUACUAGGAUUCCCCUAGUAACGGCGAGUGAACCGGGAAGAUCCCAACAUGACAAUCGGUGGCUUCACCUUCUGAAUUGUAGUCUGUAGAAGCAUCCUCAGCAAUGAACUGGGCCUAAGUCCCCUAGAAGGUGGCGCUAGAGAGGGUGAGAGCCCCAUUAGGCCCAGACCCUGCACCACCACAAGGCACUGUCAGCGAGUCAGGUUGUUUGGGAAUGCAGCCCUAAUCAGGUGGUAAAUUCUGUCCAAGGCUAAAUAUGGGUGAGAGACCGAUAGCGAACAAGUACCGCGAGGGAAAGACGAAAAGGACUUUGAAAAGAGAGUUAAAGAGUGCUUGAAAUUUCUGGGAGGGAAGGGGAUGGAGGCUGGUGAUGCACCUCGAUCGGAUGCAGAAUGGCGUCAGCCGGUCCGCAACUCAGCUCAGGGGGCAUGCCAGCGUAGGCCAUUGUGGCGGCAUAAGCGCGGCCUUCUGGUCACACUGUACCUCCAUUGCGGAGGUCAAGGAGUGAAGUGCACACCUACCAAGGUGGGCCCUUGGGCACCUGCACGCUCAUGGCGCUAGCCAGCAAGCUUUCCAUCUGACCUAUCUUGAAACACGAACCAAGGAGUCUAACAUGUGUGCGAGUCGGCGGGUUGGGAAACCUGCAAGGUGCAAGGAAGCUGACUGGCGAGAUCCCCUCUUUGGGGGUGCACUGCUAACUGACCCUGAUCUUUUGUGAAGGGUUCGAGUGCGAGCACACCUAUUGGGACCCGAAAGAUGGUGAACUAUGCCUAUGCAGGGUGAAGCCAGAGGAAACUCUGGUAGAGGCCCACAGCAAUACUGACGUGCAAAUCGUUCAUUUGACUUGGGUAUAGGGGCGAAAGACUAAUCGAAUCAUCUAGUAGCUGGUUUCCUCUGAAGUUUCCCUCAAGAUAGCUAGAGCUCAUGUGCGAAUUUUAUUGGGUAAAGCAAAUGAUUAGAGGGAUCGGGGGCGUAACGCCCUCGACCCAUUCUCAAACCUUAAAUAGGUAAGGCGAGGCAACUGCUUCAUUGAGCCAUGCCACGGAAUCAUGAGCUCCAAGUGGGCCAUUUUUGGUAAGCAGAACUAGCAAUGCGGGAUGAACUAAAAGCCGACUUACGGUGCCAAAUUGCGUGCUAACCCAGAUCCCACAAAGGGUGUUGGUUGAUUAAGACAAUAGGAUGGUGGUCAUGGAAGUUGAAAUCUGCUAAGGAGUGUGUAACAACUCACCUGUUGAAUCAACUAGCCCCAAAAAUGGAUGGCGCUGAAGUGUGCAACCUAUACUCGGCCAUUGGGGCAAGUGCCAGGCUCCGAUGAGUAGGAGGACACGGGGGUUGUUGCGAAACCUUGGGCGUGAGCCUGGGUGGACCGGCCCCCGAUGUAGAUCUUGGUGGUAGUAGCAAAUAUUCAAAUGAUAACUUUGAACACUAAAGUGGGGAAAGGUUCCAUGUGAACAACACUUGGACAUGGGUUAGUUGAUCCUAAGAGAUGGGAAAGCCCUGUUUCAAGGGUGCACUUUGCAAGAUCAUCGAAAGGGAAUCGAGUUAAUAUUAUUGAACUGGAGAUAGCUUCCAGCGACUAGAAGAGCACCGCACGUCCCGCGAUGUCUGGUGCACCUUCGGCGGCCCUUGAAAAUCAGGAGGACCAAGUACUGUUCACGCCUGGUCGUACUCAUAACAGCAUCAGGUCUCCAAGGUGAACAACCUCUGGUCAAUAGAACAAUGUAGGUAAGGGAAGUCGGCAAAAUGGAUCUGUAAAUUUGGGAAAAGGAUUGGCUCUGAGGGCUGGGCCUAGGGGUCUGUGCCUUGAACCCGUGGGCUGUUGGCAUGUCGAUCAGGUGACAGACGCAGGGUGCUCCCUUUGGGGGGCUUUCCCUAGGUGGCGAACAAAUAACUCAGAACUGGUACGGACAAGGGGAAUCCGACUAUUUAAUUAAAACAAAGCAUUGCGAUGGUCCCUGUGGAUGCUGAUGCAAUGUGAUUUCUGCCCAGUGCUCUGAAUGUCAAAGUGAAGAAAUUCAACCAAGUGCAGGUAAAUGGUGGGAGUAACUAUGACUCUCUUAAGGUAGCCAAAUGCCUCGUCAUCUAAUUAGUGACAUGCAUGAAUGGAUUAACGAGAUUCCCACUAUCCCUAUCUACUAUCUAGCGAAACCACAGCCAAGGGUACGGGCUUGGUGAAAUCAGCGGGGAAAGAAGACCUUGUUGAGCUUGACUCUAGUCCGACUUUGUGAAAUGACUUGAGAGGUGUAGAAUAAGUGGGAGCCAUUUCAGCACAAGUGAAAUACCACUACUUUUAACAUUAUUUUACUUAUUCUAUGAGGCGAAGAUGGGGCAAUGCUCUAGUUUUUGGCCUUAAGGUGCAUCUAGGUGUGUCGAUCUAAGUAGGAGACAUUGUCAGGUGGGGAGUUUGGCUGGGGCAGCACAUUUGUUAAAAGAUAAUGCAGGUGUCCUAAGAUGAGCUCAACGAGAACAAAAAUCUCAUGUGGAACAAAAGGGUAAAAGCUAAUUUGAUUUUGAUUUUCAGUACGAAUACAAACCGUGAAAGUGUGGCCUAUAGAUCUUUUAGACUUUCAGAAUUUGAAGCUAGAGGUGUCAGAAAAGUUACCAUAGGGAUAACUGGCUUGUGGCAGCCAAGCAUUCAUAGCGACAUUGCUUUUUGAUCCUUUGAUGUCGGCUCUUCCUAUCAUUGUGAAGUAGAAUUCACCAAGUGUUGGAUUGUUCACCCACCAAUAGGGAACGUGAGCUGGGUGUAGACCAUCAUGAGACAGGUUAGUUUUACCCUACUGAUGAUCCGCGCUAAAAUAGUAAUUCAACUUAGUAUGAGAGGAACCAUUGAUUCACACAUUUGGUCAUUGCACUUGGUUGAAAAGCCAGUGGCGCGAAGCUACCACGUGUCAGAUUAUGGCUGAACGCCUCUAAGUCAGAAUCCAUGCUAGAUGUAGCGCAUCUCUCUCUCUGACUGCAUCGCGACCCAUAGUAGGGGUGCUCUUGCACCCCGUGGGGCCUAUGUCAUUGGCUACCUUCGAUCGACGCAACCGCCUAGUCGAAGCAACCUUGGAUAACAAUUUCAAACUGUCGGCAAGAAGAAUCUUUUGCAGACGACUUAAAUAAGUGACGGGGUAUUGUAAGUGGCAGAGUGGCCUUGCUGCCAUGAUCCACUGAGAUUCAGCUCUCUGUCACCUUGAUUCGU